UGGUCAGCAAGUGACCCAAUUGAAGGAUCUAAUUCACCUUUUAUUAAAAUGAAUGGGUUUUCUGUAAGUUUUACAACAAAGAAGUAAUUUUGAACAGCUUACCUUUUAGCUUGUAGUGAAAGUGCUGACCUGAAAUAUCAAAGACUUUGAAUAACAAAAAUAGUUCAUCAUUAUUCCCGCAUAAAAUAUAAACAGACCGGCAUCUUUUCAUGGAGCCAUAAGUCCCUCAAAUGUAUAAAAGAGUGAGUCUGCCCAAUCAACUUUAAAUAGCAAUGACUGCAGAGCGUGCAGCAAAUCAUAAUCUGGAUCCAGUUUCCGCUGCCACCCCAUCACAAUACAAACAUUGCCAUCAAUAUUGACUUUAUGGCGUCGAACAUGCUCAAGUAGUUGCUGCAUGUAAUCAGCAGGACGAACAAAACCAUCAUCUGGGGACCUCCAUAAAUUGUAAAACUUCUCAACUUCCUCAAUGAAAGCCUUAGGAUCUGGGCAGUUUUGCUGUUUAGAUAAUCUAAGUAUGCACUCUGCAGCAGUUCGACCAUCAAGAAGGGCAAUGGCCUUAAAGAAUUCUAGUAUAUUAAAUCGAUCUCUCUUAGAAAGUUCAGCUGUCAUUCCCACAUCAAGGAAGACAACUUGAGGUCUUGAUCCAAAGAGCUGCUUGUGCGGUUCGUCAUCCAUUAAUCGAACAAGAAUAUUUCCAGGAUGCAUGUCUGCAUGGAUGAAAUUAUCUAUCAAAAGCAUCUUUAAAAGAGCUUGUGUUCCAAUGUGAGCAAGGGCACUUUUAAUUCUUUUGUUUCCUUCAACAUCAACAUAGUGCAGCACACUUUCACCUUGUUCAUAAGUUUCAACAAGCACAGCUGGGUGCACUAAGGGAUACAGAGGCCUUGGGAAUGAUACAUCCUUCCAUCUCCGGAAAUUAUAGAUGAAGCGGCUCAAAUGGGCUGCUUCUCUUGCAAGAUCAACUUGAGACAUCAUGAAGACAGCAAAGUGUUGUAUGCUUUCUUCCAAUCUAGUCCAUUUUAAUGUAGGAACAAACUUUGAAAUUUUGGCUAAAAAAUUUAUUAAUACAAAAUCCCUUCUAAUUCCUCCAGCAACGCUUGGAUGUCGAACCUUUCCAGCCACUACAAUGGGCUCAAUCUCC
Molecule: unclassified non-coding RNA, 1138 nt
Filed under: Hevea brasiliensis (rubber tree)
Lineage: Eukaryota; Viridiplantae; Streptophyta; Magnoliopsida; Malpighiales; Euphorbiaceae
Source: RNAcentral